This 804-nucleotide ribosomal RNA is filed under the name Menella sp. KE-2021. RNAcentral describes it as "partial large subunit ribosomal RNA". It matches the Rfam family "Eukaryotic large subunit ribosomal RNA", at positions 37 to 671 of the family's 3401-position model. The record is from RNAcentral. Lineage: Eukaryota; Metazoa; Cnidaria; Anthozoa; Malacalcyonacea; Plexauridae.
AGCAUAUUACUAAGCGGAGGAAAAGAAACUAACAAGGAUUCCCCCAGUAAUGGCGAAUGAAGAGGGAACAGCUCAACUUGAAAAUCUCCGUUGUGUUGCAACGGCGAAUUGUAGUUUCGAGAAGUACUUUCCCGGCGCGUCGGGCUUGCCUAAGUUGCUUGGAACAGCACGUCAUAGAGGGUGACAACCCCGUACGUGGCAACGCUCGUGCGCUCGCGAUGUGCUUUCGAAGAGUCGGGUUGCUUGGGAAUGCAGCCCAAAACGGGUGGUAAACUCCAUCUAAAGCUAAAUACAGGCACGAGACCGAUAGCGAACAAGUACCGUGAGGGAAAGAUGAAAAGGACUUUGAAAAGAGAGUUAAAAAGUACGUGAAACCGUUGAAAGGGAAGCGAAUGGAGUUAGCAAUUCGCCCUGCCAGAUUCAGCAGCUCGCGCGCCGCGACGCACGCGCUCUCGAUCCGCAUGGACGAGACGUGCGCGGGUGCGGCGCGCGGUCUGCGCACUUCUGGCGAGCGAGCGUCAGCGUCGGUUGCCGACGUGCUACAAGGACGCGGGGAAGGUGGACAGGCCCUCGUGGCCUGUUGUUAUAGCCCCGCGCUCGCAUGGCUCGACGGCGACCGAGGCUUCUGGCGACGCGUGCCUGGCUGGCGACUCGAACGAUCGGUCCGGCAUGUCGACCGUGGCGGACGGCACGCCUGUGCGCUCGAACUGCUGCCGGCCGAUCGGACGGUGUUCGCACACUACGCGUCGAGGAUGCUGACGGCCAUACGGCUCCAUCCGACCCGUCUUGAAACACGGACCAAGG